Molecule: long non-coding RNA, 540 nt
Organism: Pezoporus occidentalis (night parrot)
Lineage: Eukaryota; Metazoa; Chordata; Aves; Psittaciformes; Psittacidae
Exons: 3
Source: RefSeq, a predicted model, not a curated record
UAAAACUUUGCGUAUAAGUUUCUGGUCUUUUCGGAUGUUGCCGAAAUCACAACCACAGGAGAAAGCGGAUUAAAGGAUUCGCUGAAAAGAGGCUGCCGUUACUCCCCAAACCAAAGUGACUCUCUUCAGCUGGUAUUAUUCCUAAUGUUUAAUACAAAACAUGCUGAAAACAUCUGGAACCAGAACCAGUAUUUUCAUCUGGAAAUGUGACAGAUUUUUGCAGCUGACAUAAACUGAAGGAGCUGACACCAGAAACCUUUAUGUGAAUCGAACCUGAAACAAGUAUUUUGCAGCAUGUGAAGGCUGUGAGAUACUGCAAGGAGGAUGCAUCUCCCAAGUUCAGACUGAAGAAUCAAAAGAGUAAACCUAAGGUUAUCUGUUUUAAGGGCAACCAAAUAUAAAUGUCAGAAUCCGGGAUUUGUGUAUUUACACAUCCAAAAGAUGGGUAUUUAGGAUGUGGAUGUUACAUUUCUGACUGAUCCUGCUGAAUCUGUCUUGCAGCUAAUGUAAAAAAUAAACAAUUUUUUUCUGUUUAUGCAA